AAUUCGAGGGGCCCACAGCCAGGCUCCAAAUCGAAUCGAAGCGUCGCCUGUACGCUACCACGACUCCUCCCGCUCUCGCGGCCGCCGCCUCCCUCCCCACGCCGCAAGCCCUAGCAAUGGAUCGGUCGGCCUGGAAUGAGAGACUCCCUCCCGGGCGUCCCCGCACCGCGGGAGCUCGCCCCCUCCUCUUCCCGUGCCGCUGCGCAGGUCCUCUCGUCCCUCCUCGAGGCUCCGAACCCUAACGAAGGGGCGGGCCAUGGGAAGGCAGGCGGCGAGGUCUCAGCCGGGGGGCGCGCCUCCGCGUGGUCGCGGCGCAGUAGGAGGAUCACGGCGACGGCGUGCGACGCCUCCACCGUCUUGUAAGUGACGUCCCCCUCCACCGGAACAUCUAAAGGGAUCAACAUGCAUGGUAGUGAGCUGAUCAUCUCCUUCAUUAAGAACCUAUAAGUUAGCAGGGAUUCUGAUGUCUUCACUUGCGAUAAAUUCGUAUUUUUAUCAUUCUAUGUGUCAGGAAUAAUGUGCGUGGAUCGUGUUGGAUGAGUGCUUACUGGCUGGGCCUAUUGGUGAAUGUGAAAGAGCAGGAAUCUCCAUUUGGGGUGGGUGCUUUUGAUUUUAUUAUUAGUAGGAUUCCUUAUUAGUAUGUGCUGGGUUGGGGUUACUACAUUUAAUUCGGCCAUCUUUGGUCUGUAAUCAGUUCGUAAUGGGCCGUUAACUAUAUUGCUCGUGGCUCUGCGUGGCAGCCUCAUGCUUGUUUUGUUUUUGCCUUUGUGUGUUUGCAGUAAA
This is an RNA transcript of Phragmites australis (common reed), 783 nucleotides long. RefSeq lists it as uncharacterized. The transcript has 3 exons. Lineage: Eukaryota; Viridiplantae; Streptophyta; Magnoliopsida; Poales; Poaceae. The record is from RefSeq and is a predicted model, not a curated record.